Molecule: ribosomal RNA, 252 nt
Filed under: uncultured bacterium
Lineage: Bacteria
Description: partial 16S ribosomal RNA
Rfam family: Bacterial small subunit ribosomal RNA
Source: RNAcentral
UACGAAGGGGGCUAGCGUUGCUCGGAAUCACUGGGCGUAAAGGGUGCGUAGGCGGGUCUUUAAGUCAGGGGUGAAAUCCUGGAGCUCAACUCCAGAACUGCCUUUGAUACUGAGGAUCUUGAGUUCGGGAGAGGUGAGUGGAACUGCGAGUGUAGAGGUGAAAUUCGUAGAUAUUCGCAAGAACACCGGUGGCGAAGGCGGCUCACUGGCCCGUUUCUGACGCUCAGGCGCGACAGCGUGGGGAUCAAACAG